This 271-nucleotide long non-coding RNA is filed under the name Homo sapiens (human). RNAcentral's name for it is "HSALNT0388310". The record is from RNAcentral. Lineage: Eukaryota; Metazoa; Chordata; Mammalia; Primates; Hominidae.
UGUAAUCCCAGCACCUUGGGAGGCCGAGGCGGGUGGAUCACAAGGUCAGGAGAUCGAGACCAUCCUGGCUAACACGGUGAAACCGUGUCUCUACUAAAAAUACAAAAAAUUAUCAGGGUGUGGUGGCAGGCGCCUGUAGUCCCAGCUACUCGGGAGGCUGAGGCAGGAGAAUGGCAUGAACCCGGGAGGCGGAGCUUGCAGUGAGCUGAGAUCACGCCACUGCACUCCCACCUGGGCCACAAAGCGAGACUCCGUCUCAAAAAAAAAAAAA